Long non-coding RNA from Balaenoptera musculus (blue whale), 1629 nucleotides. RefSeq lists it as uncharacterized. Lineage: Eukaryota; Metazoa; Chordata; Mammalia; Artiodactyla; Balaenopteridae. The record is from RefSeq and is a predicted model, not a curated record. The transcript is spliced from 7 exons.
GGAACCCCAGGUCUCAGGGCAGAUAACAACCGCAAGCGUCAACUCGCACCGCCCUCGGGGUCAGCAGAGCACUUCCGCUCGCCGUCGCCCCGGGAGCCCGAACGCUGUGCACGCGCAGGAGCGGGCUUUGGGGGCGGGGGGCAACACAGCCAAUGGGCAACAACACGGCGCCUUUCGGGGACAAAGGAUUCUGACGUGGCUCCCUCUGAGACUGAAGUUGAUCCCUGCCGAUGUCUCCAGUGUCACUCUGCAAACUGAAGCAUCAGCUGCUGAGGCAAGCAACAGUGGUUUGUGUCAUGGAGUUGUCUUCUUCUCCUGGCCCUGGACCCUAUGGAUAUCAAAAAAUGCAAUGAAAUAAAAAAGAAGACAAAGCAAAGCCUAAAAUUGGAAAGAAACGAAUAAACCUGACUCUAUAUCAAAGGACCAGCGACAUAAUUUGUGUGGCCCAGUGCAAAACGAAAAUGUGGGGCUAUUUGUUCAAAAACCAGGAAUAAAGUGCCAUUAAAGAGCGCAGGGGGUUGCAGGCCGGAUAACAGAAACCCAGCCCUGCCCACUGGGUGAAGCUGCAGCUCUCCCACGCAGCGAUCUGCAAAUCGAGAGCGUGAGAAACCUGCAAGUGGAGAGAGGAGCCAGAAGUAAUGCCUUCGAAAAUGGGACGGAUGCCUCCUCCUGAAAGGAACAACCCCAGCAAUAUUUAAAACAGAAGAAUAAAGAACUGAGGAUGAAGGGAGUAAAUGCCAUUAUUAUUCACUGACAUGAAAAUAAAUGAGAAAUGAAAGAAUGGCACACCUCUGCCUUUUCUCCUAAGCUUGCUCUGGAGGAAGUGGGCAACCGUGUCAUGAGGACACACAUGCAACCUUGUGGAGACGACUGUGUACAGAGGAACUAAGGCCUCCCGCCAACAGCCAGCACCAGCUUACCAAGCAUGUGAGUGAGCCCCCUUGGAAGUGGAUGCUCCAGCCUGAGUUGAGCUUUGAGAUGACUGCAGUCCUGGCUGACAUCUUGAGUGCAACCUCAUGAGAAACCCUGAGCUACAACCACCCAGCCAAGCCAUCCCCAGAUUCUUGACCUACAGAAACUGCAAGAUAAUAAAUAUUUAUUGUUGUUUUACAUCACUAAGUCUAGAGUAAUUUUUUUUUACACAGAAUUAGAGACUAAUACACUUUCUUAGUCUGUGAUCAUAAUUGCUAUUGUACUUACUAGUCUGUCAAAUGGGUAUCAGGUCUUCCAGAUCUCUUUAAAGGUGGUGGUUUGUUCUUUUUUUCUAGCUUCAUAUUAAUAGAUAAGAAUAUAGAGAUGCACAGCAAGGACUCUAGAGUCAGGCAGACAUUAUUUUAAGUACUGGUUUGGCCACCUAUGUGACUUUCAUGACGUUACUAAAUCAAACUCAAAUUUAUUAUGAGCAUUAAAGGAGCAAAUGCAUUUCAAGUGCUUAGGGUAGUUUAUGGCUUAUGGUAAGAGCUCAAUAAGUGUGAUAGUUAUUAUGGUUAGUAACUGUAUAAAGAGAUGCUUCUAAGGGCCUUGCCUUAUGGACAACAAAGUAGCUGAAGUAUGUGUUGUACCUUAAGUGGGGAAUUUGGUUUCCAUUAGAAUUAUUAAAUAAAUUUAUUGAGGUAUAGUUUGUAUACU